This 465-nucleotide ribosomal RNA is filed under the name uncultured bacterium. Its description in RNAcentral is "partial 16S ribosomal RNA". It matches the Rfam family "Bacterial small subunit ribosomal RNA", at positions 28 to 507 of the family's 1533-position model. The record is from RNAcentral.
GACGAACGCUGGCGGCGUGCUUAACACAUGCAAGUCGAACGGAAAGGCCCUGCUUGCAGGGUACUCGAGUGGCGAACGGGUGAGUAACACGUGGGUGAUCUGCCCUGCACUUCGGGAUAAGCCUGGGAAACUGGGUCUAAUACCGGAUAGGAGCCAUUUUUAGUGUGAUGGUUGGAAAGUUUUUUCGGUGUAGGAUGAGCUCGCGGCCUAUCAGCUUGUUGGUGGGGUAAUGGCCUACCAAGGCGGCGACGGGUAGCCGGCCUGAGAGGGUGGACGGCCACAUUGGGACUGAGAGACGGCCCAGACUCCUACGGGAGGCAGCAGUGGGGAAUAUUGCACAAUGGGGGCGAGCCUGAUGCAGCGACGCCGCGUGGGGGAUGACGGCCUUCGGGUUGUAAACUCCUUUCGCUAGGGACGAAGCUUUUUGUGACGGUACCUAGAUAAGAAGCACCGGCUAACUACGUG